This 497-nucleotide ribosomal RNA is filed under the name uncultured bacterium. RNAcentral's name for it is "partial 16S ribosomal RNA". It matches the Rfam family "Bacterial small subunit ribosomal RNA", at positions 28 to 507 of the family's 1533-position model. The record is from RNAcentral.
GAUGAACGAUGGCGGCGUGCCUAAUACAUGCAAGUCGAGCGAACAGACGAGGAGCUUGCUCCUCUGACGUUAGCGGCGGACGGGUGAGUAACACGUGGAUAACCUACCUCUAAUACUGGGAUAACUUCGGGAAACCGGAGCUAAUACCGGAUAAUAUAUUGAACCGCAUGGUUCAAUAGUGAAAGACGGCUUUGCUGUCACUUAUAGAUGAAUCCGCGCCGCAUUAGCUAGUUGGUAAGGUAACGGCUUACCAAGGCAACGAUGCGUAGCCGACCUGAGAGGGUGAUCGGCCACACUGGAACUGAGACACGGUCCAGACUCCUACGGGAGGCAGCAGUAGGGAAUCUUCCGCAAUGGGCGAAAGCCUGACGGAGCAACGCCGCGUGAGUGAUGAAGGUCUUCGGAUCGUAAAACUCUGUUAUUAGGGAAGAACAAAUGUGUAAGUAACUAUGCACGUCUUGACGGUACCUAAUCAGAAAGCCACGGCUAACUACGUG